Molecule: unclassified non-coding RNA, 261 nt
Filed under: Hevea brasiliensis (rubber tree)
Lineage: Eukaryota; Viridiplantae; Streptophyta; Magnoliopsida; Malpighiales; Euphorbiaceae
Source: RNAcentral
AGAUAUUGGCUGUACUGGCCUAGUAGGAUAUCUUGUUUUGAUUUCUGUUGGUGAAAAUUUAACCUAGAUAUCCUUUUCUUAACAAUGUGAGCAAUGCAAAGCAUUUAUUAAUUAUGAACCACCAUGAAGCCCAUUCACUAGAUAUUUCUCACAUCCUCAUAAAAUGUUCUUAAACACGGAUGCAACCUCAUUGCUUUGUGUUAAAGCUUUACAGCUUCAGCUUUGUUCCAAAUAUUGCAGGAUCAAAGACGUGCACUUGAU